CCUACGGGAGGCAGCAGUAAGGAAUAUUGGGCAAUGGAGGCAACUCUGACCCAGCUACGCCGCGUGCAGGAUGACUGCCUAUGGGUUGUAAACUGCUUUUGUCAGGGAAGCGGUACUUGAAGAAUAAGGAUCGGCUAACUUCGUGCCAGCAGCCGCGGUAAUACGAAGGAUCCAAGCGUUAUCCGGAUUUAUUGGGUUUAAAGGGUGCGUAGGCGGCUUAUUAAGUCAGAGGUGAAAGCCCGGAGCUUAACUCCGGAACUGCCAUUGAUACUGAUGAGCUUGAAUAUAGUUGAGGUGGGCGGAAUGUGUCAUGUAGCGGUGAAAUGCUUAGAUAUGACACAGAACACCAAUUGCGAAGGCAGCUCGCUAACUUUAUUGACGCUGAGGCACUAAAGCGUGGGGAUCAAACAGGAUUAGAUACCCUUGUAGUC
This 431-nucleotide ribosomal RNA is filed under the name uncultured bacterium. RNAcentral's name for it is "partial 16S ribosomal RNA". It matches the Rfam family "Bacterial small subunit ribosomal RNA", at positions 338 to 795 of the family's 1533-position model. The record is from RNAcentral.